AAGCCCCAAACAUAUCUUAGAAGAAGAAAUGCCGGCAGAGGACCAUGGAUUUGGCAACUGUGAUCCACAUGACUGAGCAUGGCUAUUUUAUAUUUUCAAGACCCUGUCAGAGAAGAAAGGUAUUUUCUUGUAUACAGUAUGCAGCACACUGUGGCUCAGCAGCAAAUGAACCACAUGCUGCAAUGCAGAAGGAAUUUUCUUCAACUCACUCAAAAGCCACUGGAUUUUCGGCAUUUUGGUUUCUUCCCCUGUAGUCUCACACUAUAGGGAGCACAUUGAUCAUUCCAGUCCAUUCAUUAAGAAGGCCCAACCACUGCAGGCAUAACCCAGCCCUGUCCUCAUCUAGGGAACUCACUGUGGCAGGUGGAUUAUGAAACUGCCAGUCAGCCGUCCAGAAAGCCAACUUCAUCACUGCCUAUGCCAAGAUGAAGUCUUUUCACUUCCUGGCUCUCAGAGACCUGGAUAACCAGAUAACACCGCCACUCCAGCUGCACUGUUUACGGGCUGCUCUCAUCUUGCACACGCUAGGGCCUCUGGUCAAGGCAGGGGCACUGGUUUGCUUAUUUCUCUGUCUGAUCUUAACUUUUUGGCUCACCAGCCACUGUGGCUUGUUGCUUUCCAAAGUCACUAGCUGCUCAACCAAAAAGUAAUAAUUAUAUUGGAGAAUGUAAGUGCAUGCACUUGUUUGGACAUAACUUCCAGUUUCUUAGCAAGCCAACCUGUGUGUGUGUGUGUGAGAGAGAGAGAGAGCAGUUUUAAUAACUUGCCUACACUUAACAAAAGCACCUACAAUAAAAGUUCUUUAACAAAACAAAAAUCUUUUGCAGAUAUUUGCCAUUAAUAUUUUUACUUUAGUGUGGGCUUGUGCAUUGUAUACCACAGGGUGAAACUGAACACUGUGACAAGCCUUUCUUCUUUCUUUUUUUUGCAGUGCUAAAUAAACUAAAGCUACUCUGAAAUCAUGGACGUCUAUCUGUCAAAGUUUAUACUGCUUUACAGAGCA
Long non-coding RNA from Anguilla anguilla (European eel), 1003 nucleotides. RefSeq lists it as uncharacterized. NCBI's taxonomy places the organism in Eukaryota, Metazoa, Chordata, Actinopteri, Anguilliformes, Anguillidae. The transcript is spliced from 3 exons. The record is from RefSeq and is a predicted model, not a curated record.